CCUACGGGAGGCAGCAGUGGGGGAUAUUGCACAAUGGGGGGAACCCUGAUGCAGCGACGCCGCGUGGGUGAAGAAGCGCCUCGGCGCGUAAAGCCCUGUCAGCAGGGAAGAAAAUGACGGUACCUGAAGAAGAAGCCCCGGCUAACUACGUGCCAGCAGCCGCGGUAAUACGUAGGGGGCAAGCGUUAUCCGGAUUUACUGGGUGUAAAGGGGGCGCAGACGGGGAUGCAAGCCAGGAGUGAAAGCCCGGGGCUCAACCCCGGGACUGCGCUUGGAACUGCGUGGCUGGAGUGCAGGCAGGGCAGGCGGAAUUCCUGGUGUAGCGGUGAAAUGCGUAGAUAUCAGGAGGAACACCGGUGGCGAAGGCGGCCUGCUGGACUGCAACUGACGUUGAGGCCCGAAAGCGUGGGGAGCAAACAGGAUUAGAUACCCGAGUAGUC
Molecule: ribosomal RNA, 440 nt
Filed under: uncultured bacterium
Lineage: Bacteria
Description: partial 16S ribosomal RNA
Rfam family: Bacterial small subunit ribosomal RNA
Source: RNAcentral